RNAcentral lists this ribosomal RNA (495 nucleotides) under uncultured bacterium. RNAcentral's name for it is "partial 16S ribosomal RNA". It matches the Rfam family "Bacterial small subunit ribosomal RNA", at positions 28 to 507 of the family's 1533-position model. The record is from RNAcentral.
GACGAACGCUGGCGGCGUGCCUAAUACAUGCAAGUAGAACGCUGAAGGAGGAGCUUUCUUCUCUGGAUGAGUUGCGAACGGGUGAGUAACGCGUAGGUAACCUGCCUGUUAGCGGGGGAGAACUAUUGGAAACGAUAGCUAAUACCGCAUAAGAGUAGAUGUUGCAUGACAUUUGCUUGAAAGGUGCAAUUGCAUCACUACCAGAUGGACCUGCGUUGGAUUAGCUAGUUGGUGGGGUAACGGCGCAACAAGGCGACGAUACAUAGCCGACCUGAUAGGGGGAUCGGCCAAAAUGGGAACGAGAAACGGCCCAGACUCCUAAGGGAGGGAGCAGGAGGGAAUCUUUGGGAAUGGACCGAAGUCUGACCGAGCAAAGCCGCGGGAGUGAAGAAGGUUUUCGGAUCGUAAAGCUCUGUUGUAAGGGAAGAAAGAGUGUGAGAGUGGAAAGUUCACAUUGUGACGGUACCUUACCAGAAAGGGACGGCUAACUACGUG